This 330-nucleotide long non-coding RNA is filed under the name Homo sapiens (human). RNAcentral describes it as "long non-coding RNA NONHSAT229316". Lineage: Eukaryota; Metazoa; Chordata; Mammalia; Primates; Hominidae. The record is from RNAcentral.
GCACCUGAUUCCGCCGGGUGAAGCGAAUAAAUCACUGCGGCGGCGGGGGAGCCGGACCCAAGCCCGCCAGACGGUGGCCGCCGGGAGAACGAAAAAGUGAGAAAGAGGCAGCGGAGCCAGGAAAAAUGAUGCAGGGAGACGGCGCAAUCCUAGCCCAGGAAGAGUGAGGGGCCCGGGAAAGGGAAACCCAGAGGCAGAGAAGGGGCCAAAAUGGAAGAGGGAGAUACAGAAAGAGACAGAAGAGAACAAGAAGGAGAGUGACAAGGAAAAGCGAACGAAAAGAAAGGGAAAAUGAGGAAGGGAAAUAAGUUAAAGAAACAAGAGCGAAGA